Molecule: long non-coding RNA, 122 nt
Organism: Sphaeramia orbicularis (orbiculate cardinalfish)
Lineage: Eukaryota; Metazoa; Chordata; Actinopteri; Kurtiformes; Apogonidae
Exons: 3
Source: RefSeq, a predicted model, not a curated record
AAUCACCUUUUUUUUGUCUGUUUUCUGUUUCUAAUAGAAUGAACCUCAGCUUUAAUCUGAGCUUUAAUGAACAUCUACACGAUCAGUGAAUUAAAUAUAGGAAAAUACCAGAUUUUUACUGA